RNAcentral lists this long non-coding RNA (1481 nucleotides) under Canis lupus familiaris (dog). RNAcentral's name for it is "lncRNA (ENSCAFG00845029175.1)". The record is from RNAcentral. Lineage: Eukaryota; Metazoa; Chordata; Mammalia; Carnivora; Canidae.
UACGCUCUAAUGAAUUAACCCAUAUGAUACUUCUUUCUCCACCCCACCAACUUUGACUUUAUGACUUUUCAGGGAAGAGUUGGCACUGUGGAAUAGUUGAGUCAUGAACGGGGCUGUGCAAUGAAAACGCUGCAAGGAAUUCCUCACAUUCUCUGAGUGUGUGGCACUCACAUUUGCUGAGUGUCAGCAACCCCAAAGAGUCAACGUGGUGAGUCUGAAACUGUUACCUGCAUGGACCAGUGGUCAAGGUAAACACAGAGCAGUGGGGCCUCAAUGAUCACGAAUGCAUGGACCUAGCAUCAGGCUCCAUGCCCUGCACCUACCUUCACAUGUUUGCUCUGCACAAGCCCCCAGCUUGAGGAUAAAGCUUCGGAGGGAGACCACCUGACCAAGUGAGCUGGUCAUUCUGCACAUGCUGGCAACACAGACUCACUGCUCUGGGGUUUUCUCUAAGUGCCGUGGUAUGUCUGCUCAGAUGGAGAUGUCCGCCUGCUUUCCAUGGGUGCGGUCUGACCUAGGAGGACACCAUUUUAAGCAGGUAUUUCUGCCCUGACCCUUAUGUUCCUCCUUCCCCAGUUGCAUCUGCUUUGAAUGUGGAUGUCACUCUGCUAUUGCAAGUGUGUCUACUGUGAGCAGGGGUAGCUCCUGAUUCCCAGGUGUAUUCCGUGACCUGGGUCAUGACCCUGAUUCCCAGGUCAGUCUUCGCAGACUGAGGAAGUCUCCUGCGGUGGUUCUCUCACAGCUUAGGUAAAGCUAAACUGCCCUGGGACGACUGUUUAAUUCCCAAGUGUGUCUACCCUGACCUGAGAUGUCUGCCUAAUACCAAAUGUUUGUGUUCACUGACUUAGAAUGUCUUCCUAAUUCCCAACGUGCACUUUUACAUGGAAGUGCAUGCUGGUUCCGCAGUGUGUCUACAGUUACCAGUAAUAUUUCUCCGGUUCUCUGGCUUGAGUAGUCUUCCUUCGUCCCCUGGUAUGCACCAGAGAAAUCAAUGAGAAUUUAUUUCUACCUUAAUUAGGGAUGUCUCCCUAGGUCUCCAGGUGUGUCUCCCCUAAAUUGGGAUAUCUCUCUAGUUUACAGGAGUGUGUAGCUUGACUAUGGACAUCUCCUUAAUUUCAUAGGCGGUGUACUCUGAAACUGGGUAACCCUGUAAUCCCCCUCAUAUGUCUUUGGAGACCUGGAAUGUUUCCUUAUUUCCCCAGGAGUGUCUACCCUGACCUGAGAGUCUCCUUAAUUCCCCAGGUGUGUCUACCCUGACCUGGAAUAUCUUAAUAACUCAGAUAUGUCUUCAUUACCGUGGAUUUCUCACUAGUUCCUCAGGUAUGUUUGUUUAAUCUGACUUGGGUUUUCUCCCUUCUGCACAUUUGUCUCCCAAUUUUGGGAUGUUUCCCCAAUUUUACAGGAGUGUCUUGCUGACCUGGAAUACUUCCCUAACUCCACAGAUUUGAUCACCUUAAUUGUGGACACCUACUAAUUCCUUA